CCGGCCCUCCGCGACGGAAAGCCGUGAACCCCGCCAGGCCCGGAAGGGAGCAACGGUAGCGGUGAUGCCGGGUGCCGGAGUCAGCUGG
This 88-nucleotide signal recognition particle RNA is filed under the name Hydrocarboniphaga daqingensis. RNAcentral describes it as "Bacterial small signal recognition particle RNA". It matches the Rfam family "Bacterial small signal recognition particle RNA". Rfam says of the family: The signal recognition particle (SRP) is a universally conserved ribonucleoprotein involved in the co-translational targeting of proteins to membranes. Archaeal SRP consists of a 7S RNA and homologues of the eukaryotic SRP19 and SRP54 proteins. The record is from RNAcentral. Lineage: Bacteria; Pseudomonadati; Pseudomonadota; Gammaproteobacteria; Nevskiales; Nevskiaceae.